GCAACGACGAAAACCUUAACCCACCUUUCGUACAUGGCAGGAAUCCUGAAGAGAUUGGAGUGCUCGAAAGAGAACCUGCACACAGGUGCUGCAUGGCUGUCGUCAGCUCGUGUCGUGAGAUGUUGGGUUAAGUCCGCAACGAGCGCAACCCUUGCCAUUAGUUGCUACGAAAGGGCACUCUAAUGGGACUGCCGGUGACAAACCGGAGGAAGGUGGGGAUGACGUCAAGUCCUCAUGGCCCUUAUAGGUGGGGCUACACACGUCAUACAAUGGCCGGUACAGAGGGUAGCCAACCCGCGAGGGGGAGCCAAUCCCACAAAGCCGGUCGUAGUCCGGAUCGCAGUCUGCAACUCGACUGCGUGAAGUCGGAAUCGCUAGUAAUCGCGGAUCAGCAUGUCACGGUGAAUACGUUCCCGGGUCUU
RNAcentral lists this ribosomal RNA (422 nucleotides) under uncultured Allobrachymonas sp. RNAcentral's name for it is "bacterial SSU rRNA". It matches the Rfam family "Bacterial small subunit ribosomal RNA", at positions 956 to 1382 of the family's 1533-position model. Lineage: Bacteria; Pseudomonadati; Pseudomonadota; Betaproteobacteria; Burkholderiales; Comamonadaceae. The record is from RNAcentral.